RNAcentral lists this microRNA precursor (103 nucleotides) under Marmota monax (woodchuck). Lineage: Eukaryota; Metazoa; Chordata; Mammalia; Rodentia; Sciuridae. The record is from RNAcentral.
AGUGGGAUAACUGGGUCAAAUGGUGAUUCCAUUCCAAGUUUUCUAAGGAAUCUCCAUACUGCUUUCCAAAUUAGUUGCAAUACUUUGCAAUCCCACCAGCAAU